RNAcentral lists this transfer RNA (73 nucleotides) under Perca fluviatilis (European perch). It matches the Rfam family "tRNA". Rfam says of the family: Transfer RNA (tRNA) molecules are approximately 80 nucleotides in length. Their secondary structure includes four short double-helical elements and three loops (D, anti-codon, and T loops). The record is from Rfam by way of RNAcentral. Lineage: Eukaryota; Metazoa; Chordata; Actinopteri; Perciformes; Percidae.
GGCUCCAUAGCUCAGGGGUUAGAGAACUGGUCUUGGAAAACCCGGAGUUGUGAGUUCAAAUCUCUCGGGGCCU